Molecule: long non-coding RNA, 804 nt
Filed under: Nicotiana benthamiana
Lineage: Eukaryota; Viridiplantae; Streptophyta; Magnoliopsida; Solanales; Solanaceae
Description: long non-coding RNA (NBEN_LNC019947)
Source: RNAcentral
GAUUGUAACAAUGUCUGUGGUUGCAUAAAGGCAAGGAUAAUAGAUCGUCACCAAAAUUUGCACAAUAAGAAUACAUAUUUCUAUUCCACAUUUUAAAGGCUCGAUAUGAUGUCAGAAUAGGUAUAGAGGAAACAAGAAAUACAUAACAUAAAGAAUGUGAGGUGUGUUGAAACACACUCUUAAACGAAUGAAUGACUGGCAUUGUAAUUGAGAGAAACACUCGUCUCAAAUUAUAAUAGACUUUUUACCAAUUUUUGAAGCAACAUUCUUAUUUAAAGAAUAUAAUAGUUAAUAGUGGAGCAGAAAAGGAGUGCCAUUCUAGAGACGGAAAUAGCUAAGUAAACCAAGAAUGUUUUGCAGCGGCCUGUUGCUGAGUUCAACCAUUAUACUUUGAAACAUCCUUUCUAGUGCAAAAUGCUGGAGCAGGAAAAAGCUUGCUGUCACUUGGUGAAUAAAUAAAAAAUAUAUUUCUCGAGCUACUGAAGCACUCUAGUUUUAAGUGAUUUAUACUCUGUUCAAAGUAGUACAUGUAUAUUCUUCUAUUUCUGGCAAAUUACCCGUUCAAUAUAUGCAUAUGCGGUCACUUCUUCCAUUGAGGCAACCUCUGCACCACUACCUGUACAUAUCAUCGAACUACCAUUGUAUGAGCGAGCGCUAAAAUUGCAGACAGACAGUUGUUCAUUUUUAGUUGUUUACCCACAUGUUUAGGACCUUGAGAUGAUAAUAACGUCUGACUUGAAUUUGUUGGGAAUAAAACCCCUACCAAAAUAAUAUUCACGGUAAUAAAAGCGGAAUAAUAAUGUA